AGAGCCGGGCCCCUGAAGGGACGGAGAGCUCCGGUGGCUGUGGAGCCUUUGUUCACCUGUUCUCCAGGGCAGCCCAUCGGAAGUGUCUCCUCUUAUUCCCGGCUAGAGACGUCCAGAGGACAAUCAGCUUCAGAUCAUACCAUCGGUAAGGUAGGUGCAACUGGGGCCUGACACACUUCAUCUCAGAAGCAAUCCAUGCUGUAAAAAAAAAAAAAAAAAAAAGUACAUGAACCGCCCCCAGUGCUUUCUGGCCUCCUCCUGUGUGCAGAGCAAAUGCUCAAAGGAAGAGACACAAGGAACUCCCCAUCCCCCUUGUUGCCAAGAUAUCCCAGAUAUCUUUGUCAGUCUGUUGCAAGGAGAAGGAACCGCGCUCUGGAAGAAACCGAAUGACCCCGUAAGACACAGACUGGAGAUUUUGCACAUGGAAGAAGAAGAGAGUUGUGGAAAAUUCUAGAAACACGCCUAGCGUUAGUUACAUUUGGACUCUCUACAAUGCAUCAGGCACUUUCUAAAUGGCAUCAUGUGGCAAACGUUGCAUUGCCCUCCGUCUGGCAGCCACGAAGGACUUUGAGGUCGUUUUCCUCUGCUUGGUUGAAAACCCGAGGGAAACCAGAUGACAAUUCAGGUGUGAUGUAUGGCGCCUCCGUGUCGUCCUGUCAUAGCUUCCGCCUCCCCACGCGGAGGGAGGCCACAAAGACAAAGCUGAGACAUUAUGGCUAUUCCAGAAAAUAAAAUAUUUUUGAAACCGCACGGCGUAGAUACAGAUCUUUGUGUCAUUGUGGUAACACAAGUGUGGCAACCGUGCCCGCCAGCACGGUAGCGCUUGGGACACGCAGAGAGAGGGUUCAGUGUCCCUGCAGACGGGCCAGGGCAGGAAGGCGUUGAUCACAUGAGGCUGGCAUCGUCUAGUCUCUGCGUGCUUUGCAGAAUGAGACACCUCCCGAGUGCUUCUGAUAGGUGUGAAAGGGUGUUGUUUCUAUUAAAACAACCAGGAUGAAAAAGCAACGGC
RNAcentral lists this long non-coding RNA (1009 nucleotides) under Canis lupus familiaris (dog). RNAcentral describes it as "lncRNA (ENSCAFG00845022350.1)". The record is from RNAcentral. Lineage: Eukaryota; Metazoa; Chordata; Mammalia; Carnivora; Canidae.